UGGGGAAUAUUGCACAAUGGGCGAAAGCCUGAUGCAGCAACGCCGCGUGAGUGAUGACGGUCUUCGGAUUGUAAAGCUCUGUCUUUGGGGACGAUAAUGACGGUACCCAAGGAGGAAGCCACGGCUAACUACGUGCCAGCAGCCGCGGUAAUACGUAGGUGGCAAGCGUUGUCCGGAUUUACUGGGCGUAAAGGGUGCGUAGGCGGACCUUUAAGUGAGACGUGAAAUCCCCGAGCUUAACUUGGGGGCUGCAUUUCAAACUGGAGGUCUAGAGUGCAGGAGAGGAGAGUGGAAUUCCUAGUGUAGCGGUGAAAUGCGUAGAGAUUAGGAAGAACGCCAGUGGCGAGGGCGACUCUCUGGACUGUAACUGACGCUGAGGCACGAAAGCGUGGGGAGCAAACAG
This 403-nucleotide ribosomal RNA is filed under the name uncultured bacterium. RNAcentral describes it as "bacterial SSU rRNA". It matches the Rfam family "Bacterial small subunit ribosomal RNA", at positions 355 to 775 of the family's 1533-position model. The record is from RNAcentral.